Long non-coding RNA from Agrilus planipennis (emerald ash borer), 1005 nucleotides. RefSeq lists it as uncharacterized. The record is from RefSeq and is a predicted model, not a curated record. The transcript is spliced from 6 exons. NCBI's taxonomy places the organism in Eukaryota, Metazoa, Arthropoda, Insecta, Coleoptera, Buprestidae.
CGCCAUUUUGCAAUUUGCAAUUUUACAUAGUUUUGUUUGCUAAUAAUUACCCUUUAAUUUUCAUGUAUUGUUUUUUAAUAGUGCAGCUAAUUAGUUUUAUUUUCUUCUCUUUUACAGAUUGAUUUAUUAUUUAAAGCAUAUUGAAGAUUAUUUGGACUAUUAAGUAUCGCUAAAUGUAUGGUGUAUGAUGACAAUGUUCUUGCUACAGUUCAUUUGCUCUUUUCUCCAUGUGAAAACAUUUUGUACAUCAUUAAGAUUAUCCUAGAAGCAUGAAAUUCAUGGGCUAUGAACUUCUCUAUUGUUGAUGCCUUCACUUUGCAACAGUAUGCAAUUAAUUUUUGAGCUGACUUUCCCAAUGGUAGCAAACAAUCUAUUACUAUUAUACUAAUGGCACCAGUACAGAGAUUGGCCUGUAAAUAAAAGCAUGCUGAAGUUUAUUUGGGGUACCCCCAAAUGGAUAGUUUAUGAUGAAAUGCUUCCUACACAUCCUUUACUUUCGUCUUCUUCUCAUAGAAACAUUUUGUAUAUCAUUAAGGAACAUCAUCAUCGACAUUGGAUUGCAAAUCAAUUUCAAGUUCAUUUAGAUGCUACAGAAAACAAGUUGUCAACUAGCUGUUACUUUUUCAUCUAGGAGAAUCUAGUAGUUAAUUAAGGUUGUCCAACAAAUGAGAAGGAAUUGCAGUUAAAAUGCUACUGAAACAGCUGAUGCAUUGACUUUUUGCCUUGAAACAUUAUGCAUUAUGUGAGGGGGAGGCAACUGGUGAUUAAUUUUGAAACCACUGAAACAAGAAAUUUUCUGCAAUGGUAUUCUUGUUAGAUGUAGUUUGCUCAGACCUGCAGACUUUAGAACGUUACUUACUGUGGUUAAUUAAGAUCGACAGUGGAGAAGACAAAGAAGACCCCAUACUUGAAAUAGUUUUCUACUAUGCAUGCUUUUUAGUUGAAUUAAUUUUUUAUUUUGCACGUUUUCUGUAGUUUGUUUUAUUAAAUUAAUUUUUGAUUGUA